ACCGGCAGCUCAAGUGGUGGCCAUUUUUAUUGGGCCUAAAGCGUUCGUAGCCGGUUUGAUAUGUCUCUGGUGAAAUCCCGCAGCUUAACUGUGGGACUUGCUGGAGAUACUAUUAGACUUGAGGUCGGGAGAGGUUAGGGGUACUCCCAGGGUAGGGGUGAAAUCAUGUAAUCCUGGGGGGACCACCUGUGGCGAAGGCGGCUGACUAGAUCGGUUCUGAUGGUGAGUAACGAAAGCUAGGGGGGCGAACCG
This 252-nucleotide ribosomal RNA is filed under the name uncultured prokaryote. RNAcentral's name for it is "partial 16S rRNA". It matches the Rfam family "Archaeal small subunit ribosomal RNA", at positions 475 to 726 of the family's 1478-position model. The record is from RNAcentral.